AGCAGUACAAUUUAUUUUAUUUGUGAACCAAUUAUAAAGAAACACAUUUUUGACAGAUGAUUUGAUACCAUAUGCUAUUUUGAUUUUCACAUUACAUAUAACUUCACAUAUUUUAGCAUUAUGCUUUUGAAUACAUCUUACAUGGUUUCAUUAAUUCAAUCAAUAAAACGCAAAAGCAAACGACAAACACUUUUAUUUCUGUAUAAAAAUGUAUCUUCUUUUGAAAAACCUGAUAAAGCGUAAUGACAUAGGAUAUUAAAAAAAAACUUGUAAUUUAUGAAUAAGAUUCUUCUCUUAUAAUUUUAUUUGGGUGCAAAGGCCUUGACAGAGGCACAUUUUAUAUGAAACGCUACUUAAACAAUUGCGCACGAUAAACACUUUUACAACGCUAUAAAUAAAAAGAAAAUACAUUACAUUAUAAUCAUUGCAUGUACUGUAUCUAAUUAACAUAAUCAGAGCGAGCGGAGUGAGAAAGAUUGGUAUGAAAGUGUGAAUGCCUGAAGAAAGGGCCCUGUGAUUAGAAAAUAAAGAAUUUGAAUUUAUAUGCUGCAAUCAUAAACUAAGUUUAUGUCAAAGUUUUGUAUUUGUUUUUUGUUCUUUGCAUCAUUUUGUCACAUUGUCAUCGAUAACAUGCAAAGUCAUAACUGGUAUACAAUGUAUGUUACACGGAAAUAAAAUGGGGAUUUUGAAGUACUUUGCGAUUGUGGUCAGCCAAUCAAAAUUACAGAAUCCGAUACUAAUGAAACGUACAUGUAAUUCAAUUAUUAUAAUAGGUCAUUAUACAUGUAAAAUUAGAUAUAUAUGUUGAUACGAUUCUAAUAUAAUGGUUAGAAACAUAUGACGGCAGAACGAAAUAUUGUUGUAUAACAUGCGAAUUCAUAAAAACAGGAUACAAAACGCACAGUUCAUGGACAUUUAAACAUGUUAAACAUAAGUAUUAGAUUAACCAACGUGACACGUUCUAUCGUUCGUACCGCACCGACAUAUAGCCAUGUUAUCUCAUCAAACAAAAUUUAAAAUUUGUUGUAAUUGCAUAAAUUUAAAAAGAAAUCAGUAAUUAUUUUAAUUUGUAAAGGAAUAUAAAUAUAAUUAAUACAUGACAAAAACAGUGUCAUUUUCUUUUCGAUGUCAAUUUAUCAUAUUUGUUUCUAUAAGAUGACCUUCAUUUAAACGAACACCGCGUGCAUUUAAGUUCAAAUUAAUAAGAUUGACUAUGACUGUGCAGUUGCUUUAUUAAUAGGGAAAAUAUACUUGUCUACAUUAUA
RNAcentral lists this long non-coding RNA (1265 nucleotides) under Mytilus galloprovincialis (Mediterranean mussel). The record is from RNAcentral. Lineage: Eukaryota; Metazoa; Mollusca; Bivalvia; Mytilida; Mytilidae.